GUAGUCUCGCACAGAUGCAAUAUCAAUAAGCGGAGGAAAAGAAACUAACAAGGAUUCCCCUAGUAACGGCGAGUGAAGCGGGAAGAGCUCAAAUUUGAAAUCUUAACGGGUUUCCCUUUACGAAUUGUAGUUUAAAGAAGUGUUUUCUGUUGAGGUUUUGGUAAAAGUUCUUUGGAAUAGGACAUCAUAGAGGGUGAGAAUCCCGUAUUUGACCUUUACUUUCAACUUUGUGAUACACUUUCAAAGAGUCGGAUUGUUUGGGAAUGCAGUCCAAAAUGGGUGGUAAAUUUCAUCUAAAGCUAAAUAUUGGCGAGAGACCGAUAGCGAACAAGUACCGUGAGGGAAAGAUGAAAAGAACUUUGAAAAGAGAGUUAAACAGUACGUGAAAUUGUCAAAAGGGAAGCGUUUGACACCAGUGUUGUUUUUCUGAAAAUCAAUUAAAGAACUGUUUAUGCUAAGCUGUUUAGACUUUAUCAGCUAACUGUUUAGUUAUGAGCUUUUCUUUAAUGCACUUUUCAGUUAACAAGUCGACAUCAAUUUCUUUUGCUGUAAAAAAGCUUGAGGAAGGUGGCUUGAGAUUCGUCUUAAGUGUUUAUAGCCUCUUGCCUAUGCAGUCGGAGAGAUUGAGGUCUGCAGCGUAGAUCCUUCGGGGCUAAAUGCAUUUGUGCUAAGUUAUAGCAUUUUAUAGACAACUUGUUGACUAUGAUUUGUCUUGUAGCUUACUCGCUUAUGUUAUUGUACCUACGCUUAGGAUGUUGAAGACUCUACAGAGAUA
Molecule: ribosomal RNA, 775 nt
Filed under: uncultured Neocallimastigales
Lineage: Eukaryota; Fungi; Neocallimastigomycota; Neocallimastigomycetes; Neocallimastigales
Description: partial large subunit ribosomal RNA
Rfam family: Eukaryotic large subunit ribosomal RNA
Source: RNAcentral